Molecule: ribosomal RNA, 352 nt
Filed under: uncultured bacterium
Lineage: Bacteria
Description: bacterial SSU rRNA
Rfam family: Bacterial small subunit ribosomal RNA
Source: RNAcentral
GUAGGGGGCAAGCGUUAUCCGGAUUUACUGGGUGUAAAGGGAGCGUAGACGGCACGGCAAGCCAGAUGUGAAAGCCCGGGGCUCAACCCCGGGACUGCUUUGGAAACUGUGCAGCUAGAGUGUCGGAGAGGCAAGCGGAAUUCCUAGUGUAGCGGUGAAAUGCGUAGAUAUUAGGAGGAACACCAGUGGCGAAGGCAGCUCACUGGAGCGCAACUGACGCUGAAGCUCGAAAGUGCGGGUAUCGAACAGGAUUAGAUACCCUGGUAGUCCGCACGGUAAACGAUGGAUGCCCGCUGUUGGUCUGAACAGGUCACCGNCCAACCNAAANCNUUAACCNUCCCACCUGGGGAGU